UUGGUUAAGUUAGAAAGGGCGCACGGUGGAUGCCUUGGCACUAGGAGCCGAAGAAGGACGGGACUAACACCGAUAUGCUUUGGGGAGCUGUACGUAAGCGUUGAUCCAGAGAUUUCCGAAUGGGGGAACCCACUAUCUUUAGUCGGAUAGUAUCCUUACGUGAAUACAUAGCGUGAGGAAGGCAGACCCAGGGAACUGAAACAUCUAAGUACCUGGAGGAAGAGAAAGAAAAAUCGAUUUCCUGAGUAGCGGCGAGCGAAACGGAAAGAGCCCAAACCAAGAAGCUUGCUUCUUGGGGUUGUAGGACACUCUAUACGGAGUUACAAAAGAAAGUUAUAAAUGAAGCGGUCUGGAAAGGCCCGCCAAAGACGGUAACAGCCCGGUAGUUGAAAUGGCUUUCCCUCCAGAGUGGAUCCUGAGUACGGCGGAACACGUGAAAUUCCGUCGGAAUCCGGGAGGACCAUCUCCCAAGGCUAAAUACUCCCUAGUGACCGAUAGUGAACCAGUACCGUGAGGGAAAGGUGAAAAGCACCCCGGAAGGGGAGUGAAACAGUUCCUGAAACCGUGUGCCUACAAGUAGUUAGAGCCCGUUAAUGGGUGAUAGCGUGCCUUUUGUAGAAUGAACCGGCGAGUUACGAUUUGUUGCAAGGUUAAGCGGAAAAAGCGGAGCCGUAGCGAAAGCGAGUCUGAAUAGGGCGCAUAAGUAACAGGUCGUAGACCCGAAACCAGGUGAUCUACCCAUGUCCAGGAUGAAGGUAAGGUAAUACUUACUGGAGGUCCGAACCCACGCACGUUGAAAAGUGCGGGGAUGAGGUGUGGGUAGCGGAGAAAUUCCAAUCGAACUUGGAGAUAGCUGGUUCUCUCCGAAAUAGCUUUAGGGCUAGCCUCGAGGUAAAGAGUCAUGGAGGUAGAGCACUGUUUGGACUAGGGGCCCUUCUCGG
Molecule: ribosomal RNA, 941 nt
Filed under: Listeria monocytogenes
Lineage: Bacteria; Bacillati; Bacillota; Bacilli; Caryophanales; Listeriaceae
Description: partial 23S ribosomal RNA
Rfam family: Bacterial large subunit ribosomal RNA
Source: RNAcentral